RNAcentral lists this long non-coding RNA (2657 nucleotides) under Prunus persica (peach). Its description in RNAcentral is "long non-coding RNA (PPER_LNC003127)". Lineage: Eukaryota; Viridiplantae; Streptophyta; Magnoliopsida; Rosales; Rosaceae. The record is from RNAcentral.
UUUGGAUCAAACUAAUAAAAAUUAAAUACUCAUAUUAAAAGCUUUCUCCCUAGCCUUAUCUAGGGAGUUAGUUCCCUAUAAAAUAAAGCUAAACAGAAAUUUAGAACUACAAAGAUGGAGGAAGGAGAGAAAGCUGAAGAAGUUGUGGAGCUUGGUGUGAUUUUCCAUUUGAAGCAAUGCUCUAUUUAUAGGUAUGGGAGUUGCUCUUUGUUGCAUCAAUUGUAUUUUGCCAUGAAUAAAUAAUUUCUCACCACUUGCCGCCAGCCCACAAUCAGAUAGCCAUACAUUUGUUUAUUACCUUCCAAUUGCCUUUAUCUAUACAACAAUGUUGCAAACUCCUCUUCUUUAUUGGCUAUAUCCCAUUUUCUUAUUCAUUUGUUAGCUUGCUUAAAAUCUUGGUGCGGCACUCCAAGCUUUAUUUUCAAUAUAUGCUAGUUAUUGCUUCUUCUUUUCUAGGUUGGGCAACACCUCAAGCGUGAGUUUGCUUAUUUUUCUCUGGUGAGCAUGAAAAAUGUACCUAAAAACAGAAAACUGAAUAAAAAUAAUAAAAUAAAUUUAAAUAAGGCACUAACAAUAUAAAUUUAGGGAUGACAUAGGUAAUAAUUAUGUGUUUUUCACUUUAUGAGUAAUAUUAAUAGUGUAAUAUUGCUUCUCAUUUUUCUUUGUAAACAGCAGCGUAUUUUGGGACACUAUAACUUCAGAAUUGUUUGGUUGUGUUGAACAAUAACCCUGUCAAAUAUUUUUAUAUUUACUGUUUUAUAAUCCUUAUAUAAAACAAUAAAGGAUGGGUAGUUCAGAUCAGAAGAUAACUUUAGGCAUUGAUAUUUAGAUUUGAUAAUCUUUUUCAUGUAGCCCUUGUUAUAACGUAAUGAGCAUAGUAGAUUGAUAUAAUCUUAUUGUGUUGCGUCAUAAAUCAAACCAUGGUCAAUUGCUCGGUUUGGAUCAAUACGACCUGCUCCCUUUGCUAGAGGUGAAGCGAGUUGAAGAUCACUAUCUAAAAUCAGGCUAAAAUUAUUAUCUAAACGAUUUGCAGUGAUUAUGAUGUGCUCUUAGCAUAAGUGCAGCCACCCCUGCAACAUGAGAGUGUUAACUCACAAUUGUAUGUGUCAAUUAGUAGUAUAACAAGACAAGUACGAGGUCGUACCCACGAGGACUGAGAAGUUAAACUUAAUUACGUACUUAGAUUAUCCAAUUCAAGAAAAACAGGAUGUUAAAUCUAAAAUAGAAUUUCAAGUGAGAGUGAUUGUGAUUGUGAAAACAAAUUAAGCAAAAUGAAAUUGCAAACGAAAGCAAAGUAAACAAGUGUAACAAAAAGUGGUCUUAAGGGUUGGAAAACAUAUUUGGAGACUAGGGCAUUUUAUUCACCAUAACAAUUCAAUUUUAGAUUGUAAGGAUUAAGUGAUAAGUCUAAUUUAGAUUCAAAGAUUGAUUCUAGCUAAAAUAUGAUUAAGCCAUGGUGUUUGGUUCUAACCUUGUAUUCCUAAUUCUCUAAUUAAGUCUUUGUUGUCAACCCUAAAUCAAGCAUUAUAAAUUCAUUAAACAUAGAAGAAUGUUUUAAACAACCAAGCAUGUAUCUAAUCCUUGUUGUCAAAUGUCUAUACAUACUCUUCCUAUUCAUAAUUCAAUUUGAAUUAUGGUAUAUGAUGUCUACUCUUAAUUCCAAACAAGAUAGCUAACAUACAAGUUUUAAUGGUGAUCAAUCAUUCAAACAAGCAUAUUAACAUAUUGUUGUGCGUAGCGGAAGCGGAUUGCACUGGGUAGACAAUACGAAACCAUUAAAACAACAAGACAAAUAGCAAAAUAGCAAAAUCCAAGAGACACGAGGAUUUAUACUGGUUCAACCUGUGUGUAGCCUACAUCCAGUUCGAAGAUGGCAAGAACAUCUGCUAGUAUCCCAAAGGAGAUUAUAAACAAAGGAGAUUAAACACUCUCACCUAGUCUAAGAAUUACAGAGUUUAACUCUCACAACCCAAAUCCCAAAUACACCCAAGUUACUCAGACACAGAUAUUAAAAAAGAAAGAGAGGCUACAAAGAUAUGAAGAACACUUAUAAACAAGGAAGUUCUUCACAUCACCAUCUCUUCCUCACACAAAAGGUGCAGCAGCAAAGACACCAUGGUGCAUACAGCUUGCCCCAUGACAAGAGCACUCUUUCACCUGUUGUUCUCACUAAAACUGCACACACCUUUCUCUCUGCCAAGCCUUCAUUAUAUAACCAAGAAUUUGGUCCAAUAGUUGGAUGAGCACCUUCAAAGUCGUCCACAAAACAAAGGACAUUAAUGCACCGAAACAUCUCAACCACCAGCAUUGGAAAAGAAACCAGCCGCUCCUCUUUGGUGCGGCACAGUGCGGCACACCUGCAUGCACCUCUUCUGCUGCCAAGGAAGUCCCUGAUUACGCAUAGCUCUAGUUGGCUGCACAAAAAACCCAAGAGCCAAAAAUAGUAGCAAUAAUGCAAGAUUAUUCUACUUCUAUCUCUGAAGCUCACAGCUGUCACUCCUUGCAAUCAAUAUGAUUGCCACAUAGCCCAAGUGGCUUAAUAAAUAUAGUAGCCAAUCCGUGAAUCAAGGGAUAAACAAUCACAUGCAAAUAGUGAUCAAGAACAUGGCUUUUGUUCUUUUUGACAAAGGCUGACUUCAGCAUGAUUCCCUUCCUUU